Molecule: non-coding RNA, 204 nt
Organism: Oryza barthii
Lineage: Eukaryota; Viridiplantae; Streptophyta; Magnoliopsida; Poales; Poaceae
Source: Rfam
AAAAAAAACAAACCCUAGUUUUCAUGUAUAACUUUUGACCGUUCGUCUUAUAUAAACAUUUUUAUAAUUAGUAUUUUUAUUAUUGUUAGAUGAUAAAACAUGAUUAAUACUUUAUGUGUGACUUAUCUUUUUAAUUUUUUCAUAUUUUUUUCAAAUAAGACGGACGGUCAAACUUGGACACGGAAACCCAAGGUUUGUCUUUUU